Salvelinus sp. IW2-2015 is the source of this 321-nucleotide non-coding RNA. Lineage: Eukaryota; Metazoa; Chordata; Actinopteri; Salmoniformes; Salmonidae. The record is from RefSeq and is a predicted model, not a curated record.
GGUCUCCCAGCCCUGGUGGUUGCUGUGUCAGUAGGUUUCACUAGAGCCAGAGGUUACGGUACACCCAGCUAUUGCUGGCUGUCCUUGGAAGGCGGGCUUCUCUACGCAUUUGUCGGACCUGCAGCUGUCAUCGUAUUGAUGAACAUGCUGAUCGGUAUUGUGGUCUUCAACAAGCUCAUGUCUCGAGAUGGCAUCUCUGACAAGUCUAAAAAGCAGAGAGCUGGGGCCUCUCUGUGGAGCUCCUGUGUGGUUCUCCCUCUGCUGGCUCUGACCUGGAUGUCUUGCUGUGUUGGCCAUCACCGACCGCCGCUCCACACUCUU